GAGGUUAUAGCUCAGUAGGUAGAGUGCUUGCUUCAUAUGCAAAGCCCUGGGUUCAAUCCCCAUCACCACA
Molecule: transfer RNA, 70 nt
Filed under: Marmota marmota marmota (Alpine marmot)
Lineage: Eukaryota; Metazoa; Chordata; Mammalia; Rodentia; Sciuridae
Also listed under: 1 other name
Rfam family: tRNA
About the family: Transfer RNA (tRNA) molecules are approximately 80 nucleotides in length. Their secondary structure includes four short double-helical elements and three loops (D, anti-codon, and T loops). Further hydrogen bonds mediate the characteristic L-shaped molecular structure. tRNAs have two regions of fundamental functional importance: the anti-codon, which is responsible for specific mRNA codon recognition, and the 3' end, to which the tRNAs corresponding amino acid is attached (by aminoacyl-tRNA synthetases). tRNAs cope with the degeneracy of the genetic code in two manners: having more than one tRNA (with a specific anti-codon) for a particular amino acid; and 'wobble' base-pairing, i.e. permitting non-standard base-pairing at the 3rd anti-codon position.
Source: Rfam by way of RNAcentral